Molecule: long non-coding RNA, 308 nt
Filed under: Hordeum vulgare
Lineage: Eukaryota; Viridiplantae; Streptophyta; Magnoliopsida; Poales; Poaceae
Description: long non-coding RNA (HVUL_LNC004311)
Source: RNAcentral
GUCCUUUAGGUAGGGUGGUCCUGCUUCUUCUUGUGGUGUAUGCUGGUACUUCAUCAUCGUCGUCAUGUUCCAUCUUCGGGUCGCCGUACUUGUCGAAGUCUUGCUCAUUGGCGACUCCAUCCAUUCCGAUGAUCUUCCUUUUGCCUCUCCUCACGACAACACGAUUGGGCUUUGGCGGGUCGGUAAUGAAGAAGCAUUGGUCCACUUGGGAAGCCAGUACCCAUGGCUCAUUUUUCACGGUGACGUUUGCGCCCGCGGUCUUGGAUUUGGCUUCGGGUAUAACCAUGGUGGUGAAAUACCGGUCUUCU